CCCUUAGAUGUUCUGGGCUGCACGCGUGUUACAAUCGGGAGUACGACAAGAUUGCAAAUCCUAGUGGAUGAGUGGUUCUUCGAAAUUUUCUGAAGACUGGGAUAGUUGAUUGAAAUUAUUCAACUCGAACGAGGAAUUCCUUGUAAUUGUAAUUCAUUAUAUUGUAAUGAAUACGUCCCUGCCCUUUGUACACACCGCCCGUCGCUCCUACCGAUUGAACGAUCCGGUGAAUUAUUUGGAGUAGCUCUGGAAGUUGCAGAACUUCCUAUGUCACGAAAUUUUGUAAACCUUAUCGUUUAGAGGAAGGAAAAGUCGUAACA
Molecule: ribosomal RNA, 320 nt
Filed under: uncultured eukaryote
Lineage: Eukaryota
Description: partial 18S ribosomal RNA
Rfam family: Eukaryotic small subunit ribosomal RNA
Source: RNAcentral